This 468-nucleotide ribosomal RNA is filed under the name uncultured bacterium. RNAcentral's name for it is "partial 16S ribosomal RNA". It matches the Rfam family "Bacterial small subunit ribosomal RNA", at positions 28 to 507 of the family's 1533-position model. The record is from RNAcentral.
GACGAACGCUGGCGGCGUGCUUAACACAUGCAAGUCGAACGGAAAGGCCCUGCUUUUGUGGGGUGCUCGAGUGGCGAACGGGUGAGUAACACGUGAGUAACCUGCCCUUGACUUUGGGAUAACUUCAGGAAACUGGGGCUAAUACCGGAUAGGAGCUCCUGCUGCAUGGUGGGGGUUGGAAAGUUUCGGCGGUUGGGGAUGGACUCGCGGCUUAUCAGCUUGGUGGUGGGGUAGUGGCUUACCAAGGCGUUGACGGGUAGCCGGCCUGAGAGGGUGACCGGCCACAUUGGGACUGAGAUACGGCCCAGACUCCUACGGGAGGCAGCAGUGGGGAAUAUUGCACAAUGGGCGGAAGCCUGAUGCAGCAACGCCGCGUGCGGGAUGACGGCCUUCGGGUUGUAAACCGCUUUCGCCUGUGACGAAGCGUGAGUGACGGUAAUGGGUGAAGAAGCACCGGCUAACUACGUG